Molecule: ribosomal RNA, 475 nt
Filed under: uncultured organism
Description: partial 16S ribosomal RNA
Rfam family: Bacterial small subunit ribosomal RNA
Source: RNAcentral
UACACUCCUACGGGAGGCAGCAGUGGGGAAUUUUGGACAAUGGGCGAAAGCCUGAUCCAGCAAUGCCGCGUGAGUGAAGAAGGCCUUCGGGUUGUAAAGCUCUUUUGUCAGGGAAGAAACGGUGAAAGCUAAUAUCUUUUGCUACUGACGGUACCUGAAGAAUAAGCACCGGCUAACUACGUGCCAGCAGCCGCGGUAAUACGUAGGGUGCAAGCGUUAAUCGGAAUUACUGGGCGUAAAGCGUGCGCAGGCGGUUUUGUAAGUCUGAUGUGAAAUCCCCGGGCUCAACCUGGGAAUUGCAUUGGAGACUGCAAGGCUAGAAUCUGGCAGAGGGGGGUAGAAUUCCACGUGUAGCAGUGAAAUGCGUAGAUAUGUGGAGGAACACCGAUGGCGAAGGCAGCCCCCUGGGUCAAGAUUGACGCUCAUGCACGAAAGCGUGGGGAGCAAACAGGAUUAGAAACCCCUGUAGUCCCAU